AUUCACGCUGGCGGCAUGCUUUACACAUGCAAGUCGAACGGCAGCGCGGGCUUCGGCCUGGCGGCGAGUGGCGAACGGGUGAGUAAUGCAUCGGAACGUGCCCAGUAGUGGGGGAUAGCCCGGCGAAAGCCGGAUUAAUACCGCAUACGACCUGAGGGUGAAAGCGGGGGACCGAAAGGCCUCGCGCUAUUGGAGCGGCCGAUGUCGGAUUAGCUAGUUGGUGGGGUAAAGGCUUACCAAGGCGACGAUCCGUAGCUGGUCUGAGAGGACGACCAGCCACACUGGGACUGAGACACGGCCCAGACUCCUACGGGAGGCAGCAGUGGGGAAUUUUGGACAAUGGGGGCAACCCUGAUCCAGCCAUGCCGCGUGCGGGAAGAAGGCCUUCGGGUUGUAAACCGCUUUUGUUCGGGAAGAAAUCCUCUGGGCUAAUACCCCGGGGGGAUGACGGUACCGGAAGAAUAAGCACCGGCUAACUACGUG
This 483-nucleotide ribosomal RNA is filed under the name uncultured bacterium. Its description in RNAcentral is "partial 16S ribosomal RNA". It matches the Rfam family "Bacterial small subunit ribosomal RNA", at positions 29 to 507 of the family's 1533-position model. The record is from RNAcentral.